CACAGCGGUGACUCACUCAACCUGGGUGUGAUGUGUCAUAUGAUUGUCAUCACAACCUCCUUGAGUGAGCGACCGGGUGG
Molecule: microRNA precursor, 80 nt
Filed under: Oryctes borbonicus
Lineage: Eukaryota; Metazoa; Arthropoda; Insecta; Coleoptera; Scarabaeidae
Description: mir-67 microRNA precursor family
Rfam family: mir-67 microRNA precursor family
Source: Rfam by way of RNAcentral